RNAcentral lists this ribosomal RNA (253 nucleotides) under uncultured bacterium. RNAcentral describes it as "partial 16S ribosomal RNA". It matches the Rfam family "Bacterial small subunit ribosomal RNA", at positions 524 to 776 of the family's 1533-position model. The record is from RNAcentral.
UACGAAGGUGGCAAGCGUUACUCGGAAUUACUAGGCGUAAAGGGCAGGUAGGUGGUUUGGUAAGUCUGUUGUGUAAGCUCCUGGCUUAACUGGGAGAGGUCAACAGAAACUAUCAAACUUGAGUAUGGGAGAGGGUACUGGAAUUCCCGGUGUAGCGGUGAAAUGCGCAGAGAUCGGGAGGAACACCAAUGGCGAAAGCAGGUGCCUGGACCAUUACUGACACUCAGCUGCGAAAGCUAGGGGAGCAAACAGG